This is a long non-coding RNA of Girardinichthys multiradiatus, 2186 nucleotides long. RefSeq lists it as uncharacterized. The transcript has 3 exons. Lineage: Eukaryota; Metazoa; Chordata; Actinopteri; Cyprinodontiformes; Goodeidae. The record is from RefSeq and is a predicted model, not a curated record.
GUAGAAAUCACUUGAUCAGACCGCAACACAGAUUAGAUGGCUCAGUUUACUGCUUUAACAUGCAGGUAUUCCUAUCACCAAGCCAAAGACUAUAAACCUCAUUGAAUGAGUGCAAGCAAAACUUUCAAAACAAUGAGCAUGUCUGCAGGUUUGAUUAUUCGGUGGGAAUAGACACAAGCUAAAAUACACCCUAAAUGAUCCUAAACUGCACACCCCUUUUCCAAUUAAACCUGUGCCUUAUGCAUCCAACAUUCCACAUUGUAGGCAAAUAAAUCCAUCUCAUACUGUGGGCAUACCUAAACUCUAUCCUGAAAAAUGAGAAAUAAUUACAUUUAAGUACAUGUUAUUGCCUUACUUCAUGAGAACCUAUGAUUAUUAUAAGCCAAUGAAGGACAAAAACUAAUACUGUAUACAAUAAAAGGAGAAUUACAUAAGGCCUGGAUAGUGCAAUGAGUAUUUGAGAUGAGUGUUUAACAUGGAGCACAUUACUGCUGAGCAACAGCUCAACAUUUUCUUUACAAGAUCAAGAGGAUGCCCAAUAAACAAAUGAUAUUUGAAAAUGAUACGUAAACCUGACAGUGCAAGGUGCACCUAGAGAUGCUGCUGCUGCUAAAUCUCCAAAUGCCAAAGUUCAGUCUAGGCAAUCUUCAUCAAAGCAGAGUGAUUCAAACAGAAAAUCUAUGUUCUUUCUUUUCUCCAACUCACAGGCCUGAGAUCAGACCUUCAUCUUUGCAUCUAUCUCAAAUGAGAAGCAGAGGUAGACUCCAAACUGACCCAAAGUCAGCUAGUCGUGACAAACUUUCCUUUGGCCCCCUCUCUGCUGUCCUCAGAAAGGAUCCUUUGUGCCAGGCUCUCACGGGUGCCUCAGCAACGUGGUUUUAGCUUUCACUGACACAAUCUUGAGCCAAUAGGACCCUCACCUAACCAUGGACAGGAAGAAAUAGAAAAAGCUGAGAGAAACGGCUCAGCUCAGCCGAAAAGAAAAUGCUCCGCUGUGACUGAGAUAGCACAGGCUGGUCAACAGUGGGUGACAGUAACUUUUUCCUGAGAUGUUUGAGUGGAUUUGGAAGAGGUGAACAUCAGCUCCUUCCUGGAUGGCUUUGGAUAAGGUGGUCAUGGCUGGGAUUGGAACAGCUGGGACCUCCCCUGUGAGCUCUGGCAUAUCAUGUCCAAUAUAUUCCACCAGGUGGCGUGCUACAGCGCUAAUAUAAGCCAGCCACACAGAAAGGCAGAGGGGCUCCAACAGGAAGAAUGAUGGAUGACACCUCUAAGCUGCAGAAUAGAGGUCAAAGUUAGAGGGGAGGGGAUAACAACUUUCUGAGAGCAAUUGAAGAUCAACAUAUGCCAGCCUCUUUUUGCCUGACUUCAAAUGAACCAUCUCCCACCAAAGGAAUUGGAAGUAUUUAUAGAAAUGCCACCAUGAAAACUAACAUUUUCUUCUUCUUCCACAGGUAUUUCCCAAAACGUAUCUGUGAUCAGUAUCUUAAUGCCUGUUGUUUCUUCUAAAAUCAGUGAGUUUCAACAUUAAUGGAAGUGGAACAUUUAGCAUUUAUUUUUUUUUGUAGCUAAUCAUGUUUCAAGGAUACAUAAUAUUGGAAGUACCUCUCCCGACAAGCUUUUAUGGAUAGAAAUGUGCUUAGCAAUAAUGAUGUACAAUUGCCUGCUUUAAAUCGGUUGCCAAAGCCUGUAAGUUUUUGUCAAGGAGGAUCUCAGCGCCUGGCUUCACUGGCUGCUACAGUUGGUGUGACAAUAAGGAAGUAAAGCGACUCCUCCAGACCUCCUCCAGGCCCAAAUGAUCUCAGAUGGGAAGGAAGAAAACAGCCGGAGGGGGAUGCUUUUACUGGAUUACAGGAAGACACCCCAUCCAUCCAUUCAUGCAGUGAGAGGGAGAACGUGCAUGCAAACUCAACACUGAUGUUGGUCACAUUUAAAACUCAAGCACCUUAGGCAGCCCUCAAACAAUGUAUCUGCAGUUUAAAGUGAAACCCAACCACUGAUCUGUAGCUGGACAAACAGACCCCACCUAUUCCUUUAAACCUAUUCCCAGUUAUGGUUUAACAGGUGUUGAGUUUUAUGUUGCAAUGUGAUUUUAGCGAAUUUGAAGCCAAUAAUAAAUGUAUUUUUCUUCUUUAUGCAAGUAAAAGUGUUUGUGUCUGUGUGUUUCCUUUUUGUCUCAUUAAAUUAUA